UAACAAAUAGCCAAUGGUAGUGCGUCUGACUCCAAAUCAGAAGGUUGCGUGUUAGAUUCACGUUGGGUUCA
RNAcentral lists this transfer RNA (71 nucleotides) under Ipomoea nil (Japanese morning glory). It matches the Rfam family "tRNA". From Rfam's summary of the family: Transfer RNA (tRNA) molecules are approximately 80 nucleotides in length. Lineage: Eukaryota; Viridiplantae; Streptophyta; Magnoliopsida; Solanales; Convolvulaceae. The record is from Rfam by way of RNAcentral.